GAAUUCGAUUAACGCGAAGAACCUUACCUGGGCUCGAAAUGCAGUGGACCGGGGUAGAAAUAUCCCUUUCCGCAAGGACUGCUGCAUAGGUGCUGCAUGGCUGUCGUCAGCUCGUGUCGUGAGAUGUUGGGUUAAGUCCCGCAACGAGCGCAACCCUUAUCCCUAGUUGCCACCGGGUCAAGCCGGGCACUCUAGUGAGACCGCCCCGGAUAACGGGGAGGAAGGUGGGGAUGACGUCAAGUCCUCAUGGCCUUUAUGUCCAGGGCUACACACGUGCUACAAUGGUCGGUACAAACCGUCGCAAACCCGUGAGGGGGAGCUAAUCGGAAAAAGCCGGCCUCAGUUCGGAUUGGAGUCUGCAACUCGACUCCAUGAAGCUGGAAUCGCUAGUAAUCGCGGAUCAGAACGCCGCGGUGAAUACGUUCCCGGGCCUUGUCACACCGAAUCACUA
RNAcentral lists this ribosomal RNA (451 nucleotides) under uncultured soil bacterium. RNAcentral's name for it is "bacterial SSU rRNA". It matches the Rfam family "Bacterial small subunit ribosomal RNA", at positions 947 to 1384 of the family's 1533-position model. The record is from RNAcentral.